Molecule: non-coding RNA, 668 nt
Organism: Rattus norvegicus (Norway rat)
Lineage: Eukaryota; Metazoa; Chordata; Mammalia; Rodentia; Muridae
Source: RefSeq, a predicted model, not a curated record
AAGUCCCUCAGUAGGGUAUUCGACCAUCCAGCUGGAGGAGUAAGGAAGUCCUGUGUCACAGGAAGAGGCUCCCAGCAGAAGGUUUUACAACAGUGUUCUCCCGCUGUUUUCUUUACCUCCAUCAAGGACCCACCAGCCCACUCGGAGCCUCACUUUGUCAAGCUUCCACAAAGGGCAGACCACAGGGAUUCUGAACAAACAGCCCCCCUCUCUCUCACACAUGUUUAGGAAGGAGGGGCCAGUCCGUUUGCAAGGGAGAAAAAGCAAGAGGAACACUGACCUGGUGGACCAUCCGACUACCAAGAGAUUUAAAAGACCCCUCCCCCCAAAACCUUUGCCAGCUGACAGGCGAGGAAGUGGAAGAGCAAGUAGCCCCGAGGUCUCUCAGCCCAUGGGCUGCUAGGCAUGGCCAACCCGGAGAAUGCUUCGGUAGUGGGCCCCCCGAAGGGCAGUGCCUUCCCUCCCCCAAGACCCAACUGGUCCUCUAAUCUGCCGGACCUCCAGAUACCGACGAGUCAGUGUGUUGACAAGCCAUCCCUGGCCAUUCCUAGCCCAUCAAAAAAUGGAAGGAAGUCCAUAGGAAGGGUAUGAGCAGACCGAUUUAAUUAGCGCGGGCUCUAAAGGUACCUUAAGUUGGCCCUAUUAAAUUAAACUGCCUAGGGGAAAAA